This 200-nucleotide unclassified non-coding RNA is filed under the name soil metagenome. Its description in RNAcentral is "partial internal transcribed spacer 1". The record is from RNAcentral.
CCGAGUUUACAACUCCCAAACCCAAUGUGAACGUUACCAAACUGUUGCCUCGGCGGGAUCUUCUGCCCCGGGUGCGUCGCAGCCCCGGACCAAGGCGCCCGCCGGAGGACCAACUCCAAAACUCUUUUGUAUACCCCCUCGCGGGUUUUUUAUAUCUGAGCCAUCUCGGCGCCUCUCGUAGGCGUUUCGAAGAUGAAUCA